GUCCCCAUCAUCUAGUGGCCUAGGAUAUCGCCCUUUCACGGCGAGUACCGGGGUUCGAAUCCCCGUGGGGACGCCA
This 76-nucleotide transfer RNA is filed under the name Thiothrix unzii. Its description in RNAcentral is "tRNA-Glu". It matches the Rfam family "tRNA". From Rfam's summary of the family: Transfer RNA (tRNA) molecules are approximately 80 nucleotides in length. Lineage: Bacteria; Pseudomonadati; Pseudomonadota; Gammaproteobacteria; Thiotrichales; Thiotrichaceae. The record is from RNAcentral. RNAcentral also lists the same sequence under 1 other name.